CGGAAGCGUUGCUAAGGGAGCCUAGCAACCACGGCGGGGCUUGCUGGAAGCGUAGGCCGUGAAGGCUCCCAACAGUAAAUACUGACUCUGAGGAAAACCUAUCCGUGCGGUUUCUUCUAGAGUGGAGUGUGUGUAACUCGCACAGGUUUCCGUGAACGAACAGGGAAUCGAAGUAUGGUCUUUAGUCCUAGUCCAACGCUCAGAUUCUACAUGAGUAUAAAGACAAGGGCUGCAAUGCUUUAUGCACACCUUGGAAAAUAAAGCCGUGGUAGAAGGAAA
This is a long non-coding RNA of Anolis carolinensis (green anole), 279 nucleotides long. RefSeq lists it as uncharacterized. The record is from RefSeq and is a predicted model, not a curated record. NCBI's taxonomy places the organism in Eukaryota, Metazoa, Chordata, Lepidosauria, Squamata, Anolidae. The transcript is spliced from 2 exons.